RNAcentral lists this ribosomal RNA (497 nucleotides) under uncultured bacterium. RNAcentral's name for it is "partial 16S ribosomal RNA". It matches the Rfam family "Bacterial small subunit ribosomal RNA", at positions 28 to 507 of the family's 1533-position model. The record is from RNAcentral.
GAUGAACGCUGGCGGCGUGCCUAAUACAUGCAAGUCGAGCGAACAGACGAGGAGCUUGCUCCUCUGACGUUAGCGGCGGAAGGGUGAGUAACACGUGGAUAACCUACCUAUAAGACUGGGAUAACUUCGGGAAACCGGAGCUAAUACCGGAUAAUAUAUUGAACCGCAUGGUUCAAUAGUGAAAGACGGUUUUGCUGUCACUUAUAGAUGGAUCCGCGCCGCAUUAGCUAGUUGGUAAGGUAACGGCUUACCAAGGCAACGAUGCGUAGCCGACCUGAGAGGGUGAUGGGCCACACUGGAACUGAGACACGGUCCAGACUCCUACGGGAGGCAGCAGUAGGGAUUCUUCCGCAAUGGGCGAAAGCCUGACGGAGCAACGCCGCGUGAGUGAUGAAGGUCUUCGGAUCGUAAAACUCUGUUAUUAGGGAAGAACAAAUGUGUAAGUAACUAUGCACGUCUUGACGGUACCUAAUCAGAAAGCCACGGCUAACUACGUG